GGCAAUUGCCAUUCCUCCACGCGUACAAAUGAAAUGGUGCGUUUCAUGUACACCAGUUCUCCCUCCCUUUCCUCUAUCAUAGACAGAGUAACAAUCUACCAAAUCGUGCCAAUGGCAGACUCUCUCGCUCUUGAUGUGACUCUCAUGGCAACCUCCACAAAACAAGUAGGUAAAAUUCGCCAAAUCGUGUGGCUCAACAAGUCAUGCUGCGGCAGAAGCACAUGAACCCUCGGCGCCAGACCAAUUCAUGUCCCUCUUCCUAUUCUAAUUCCGGUCUAGUGAAGAAAGCCGAGGAAGAGUUUGGAUUUUAGAGAACCGGUGGUUUGGUUUUGCCCUGCGAGGUUGGGUUUUUUCGAAAAAAUGUUGAAACUUUUGGAGAUCGAUGAGAAUGGAUUCCGUGGGCUUGGUUUGGAUGAUUUCUUGAAGCUGGUUUUGGAAAUAGGUUCUGAAUCUUGCAAUGAAGCAACAUCAAGUUCAUUUCACAUGGCCACUCCCUUGCUACAAAAAGCAAGGGUCUAACACUGCUUGUUUCUUAAUUGCUUGCUUUUAUUUUUUUUUUCUUUUUAUUUUUCUCUUGUUAUUAAAUUAUAUAUGAUGGUAGAGAAUUUGAUGCUCUCCUGUUACUUUUGGAGGUUAUUGUUUGGAGCCAUCCUUGAGUCCAUCGUUUAGUUUUAAUGUGAUAUCUCGUUUUUACGUGUAUUUUCACUGAAAGAAUAUUUUACUUUAAUUAAAUAUUAGUUCUUUUAUUUUAA
This is a long non-coding RNA of Carya illinoinensis, 752 nucleotides long. RefSeq lists it as uncharacterized. NCBI's taxonomy places the organism in Eukaryota, Viridiplantae, Streptophyta, Magnoliopsida, Fagales, Juglandaceae. The record is from RefSeq and is a predicted model, not a curated record. The transcript has 2 exons.